This 398-nucleotide ribosomal RNA is filed under the name uncultured bacterium. RNAcentral's name for it is "partial 16S ribosomal RNA". It matches the Rfam family "Bacterial small subunit ribosomal RNA", at positions 523 to 918 of the family's 1533-position model. The record is from RNAcentral.
AUACGUAGGGUGCGAGCGUUGUCCGGAAUUACUGGGCGUAAAGAGCUCGUAGGUGGUUUGUCGCGUCGUCUGUGAAAUUCCGGGGCUUAACUCCGGGCGUGCAGGCGAUACGGGCAUAACUUGAGUACUGUAGGGGAGACUGGAAUUCCAGGUGUAGCGGUGAAAUGCGCAGAUAUCAGGAGGAACACCGGUGGCGAAGGCGGGUCUCUGGGCAGUAACUGACGCUGAGGAGCGAAAGCAUGGGUAGCGAACAGGAUUAGAUACCCUGGUAGUCCAUGCCGUAAACGGUGGGCGCUAGGUGUAGGGGUCUUCCACGACUUCUGUGCCGUAGCUAACGCAUUAAGCGCCCCGCCUUGGGAGUACGGCCGCAAGGCUAAAACUCAAAUGAAUUGACGGGG